UCCGGUAAACCACCGUCUCCUUGGUGACACUGUGCAGCAGAAAUAGAAGCCCGUGCUCAAACUCAGCCGGUGACUUUGGUUCCUAGUUGUAAAGUAACCUACACAGACGCAAUGCUUUCCCAGUAAGCACAGUCAGUGCUUCUAUUCUGGCUAAAAAAGAUUCCACAAGGCUGAGCUUAUAUAACCAGGCUGAAUCUUGUUAUCAUGGACUAGCACAGUAUCAUAAGGCUGGUCUGAUAAGAUACCUUGGCAUGUAUCUGAUCCAUUCACCCUAGAUGCUUUGUAACGUUGUCGCGUCCCUGACCUAUGAUAUUCUGUUUUGGGCUGGAGACUUCAAUAUGGUCUAUAAUGGUAAGCUGGACCGUUCUAAUUCUGCCCCGUUUCGCAGAUCAGGAAUUUUCUCCAGAUCUGUCAGCCAGCUCAACUUAAAGCCACCAGGGAAAUGGACAAGGAAAGAAAACUUGACCCUACUUCACCUCAAAGGAAGGAGAACAGAAUAUAAAAAUAAAUCCUUGAUCUGCAUGAGUGCAUCUUACUUCAUCUCUAUAGAAGAGGCCUUGUUCCCUAGAUCCCUGGAGACAACAAGUAUCACACACUGCAGACUGCACAGACAGACAGAAGCUGAAGAGACUCAAAUUCUAAGGUUUCCAUCUGAUGAAAACAAAAUCUUUCUAGAUCAGGAGGCAAUAGGACACUGCUGGUACCAAAACUAGUUUUCAGGCUUUCCUUUCAUCAAUGCCUAGGAGACUUUACAGAGAAGCCAUGAUCCUUCCUAAGUAUAUAUGUUGCUUAUUGCAGUGAAACAGUGAAAUUAGAAACAGUUUAAUAUAUAUUAGUUACCUAUGCGAAUACAAUGCUAUACUGAUACACUGAGCACUACAAUGGCGAUAGGUAGGAGGCAAUCCAAGAACAUAUCACUUCAAAGCAAGUUCUUAUUAUAAUUUAACCUUUCAAGGGGUACCCCGAUGAAAAAAAAUUUUUUUGUUUUAAAUCCACUGGUGCCAGAA
Long non-coding RNA from Hyla sarda, 1007 nucleotides. RefSeq lists it as uncharacterized. Lineage: Eukaryota; Metazoa; Chordata; Amphibia; Anura; Hylidae. The record is from RefSeq and is a predicted model, not a curated record. The transcript has 5 exons.